CUCUGUGAGCCAAUCCGUCAAAACAUUUGCUGCUUUGAAAAUGUGCUCUUCAAAAAAAUGGGCAUAUGGAACUUAUUAGACUAUUUGGUGGAGUUCAGGCAGCAGAGCCCAAAAGAAGCAUAAAAACAUCUAAGGACACAAUUCUGCCUUAAGAGGGUUCAAUGCUCUGAGAUAAUGAGGUCCUCCCAGGCCGUUGCCUUCUCUUUGCUGAGUUCCAGAAAUAAUCAUCAUGGCUCUUUGGUCCAGGAAAAUGUGUGCCAGAGACUUCCUAUAAAUGAACUCCCGUCCACCAGCCAUGGCUUACCUAAAACCAUAUGCUUUAGAAGAAGCAAGAAGGGAUCACAGAUGUAUUUUUUCCCCACAGGACAAAAGAUAAACUGCAAUAAAUAUGAUAACAAGCUAUUAAUCAAGAAACUUCACUGUAAUAUAGAAUGAAAAGUAGUUCAACAGAAAAUUUGUGACUUUCUACCAAAAAAGAAAUAAGUCACAGUUUUAAGUCAGCACAGAAAAGGUUCUGUAAUAUUAGACAAUUGAUUCCAACGGGAUACACUUUCCAGGAAGAAUUUAUGUUCUUUUGUUUGUGCAAUCCCUCACAAGGACACAUCUAAUAUGCUUUCAUAGACUCUUACAUUUCCACAGCAACAUUUUCUUCAGAAUACAAUUUAAGUGGGUUUUCAAAGGCUCAUGAGAUACAGGAAGCUCUGAGGAACAGAAGGAUGAUAAACUGAGCUCUGCUCUCAGUUACUCUGUCUUGUCACUAAACCAAUCCAGAAUUUAGGCUGCUGUACCUGACAAAAGGCUUUGCCUCACCAUCACUCGCAAUUGUUGUGCCAUACAAGGCAGGAUGCCUUAUUGUUGAAAGAAAAUCAGUGGCAAUGUCAAUUCAGAUUUGGUCUGAAGAAAACACGGAUGUUUUUUAUACAGAGACACAGUCCAUUUGUCAUACAUAACAUGUACUUUUGAAUGACAUGACGUUUUUAGAAAGGAGCGUGUCUUCUCUGUAUUGAAAAAAAUCAACUGCAUGAGUCAAAUAUUUCUGCAGUGAAAAACAAAGGCCUCCAAUAAAUAAAAAUUCUGGUUUAAGCUAAUUUGUUGUUCUGAGAAUAUGUACUCACUACUCUUUUAUUGCUUGUGAAAGUGCUUAUUAAAUAAGCAGCUGCUGACACACAUAAGCAAAUACAAAGCAUUAAUUCCUGACUUAGCUUUCAGAUUCUGAGAGUGGAAAAAUCAUGAAAGAAACUACUUCUCACAAGAUUUUCCUUUGUGGCAUCCACAGAAGACUGCUUGCUCCUGUUUUCCCCCUGUGGAUUAUGAUUACUUCUGUUUCCAGGCAUCUGACUGCAAAUCCAAGGUCCUAGGGCUCCUUUACAAGUUCUAAAAUGAGUGACUUCUUAUUCUUCCUGUAUGCCUUUGCAAUUCUUUUGCUGUAGGCAUUUUAAUUCCAUUCCAGGGAAAAUGAAGACAUUUUUAGCAAUGGAAGUAAUUUUAGCUCACCAAAACUCAGCGAAGUAAUGAUAGAGGUCAGGUGGGAGAAUUUUAUCAUUAUCAAAGGUAACAAGACUCACUUGGUAAACAAAUGUGCUUUUUUUCAUCUACUAAUGGCAUGUUCUGGAGAAUCAGAAGAUAAGCUAUUGCAACUACUUCUCUUUAAUUCAGGUAAUAUGGGGGUUUGUAUUUAGAAAUUAAAGUUCUGAAUUUAUUAUAAAGAUAAUAUUCUAUCAGAGUACAAAUUGAUUUUUUUAUACCCCAACUGUUCAUUAAAAUUUUCUUCCAUUUCUCAAGACAUGUGACAGGGAACUUUUCAAAUGGUAGAGGGUUGGUAGAAUUUUGUGUACUUUAAAAUCUAUGCGAAAAGAAAAAAAUACUCUUUCUUUCUACAUCAAAGGAUACUUUUUUUAUUUCAUGAACUGCAGAGUCAUAGUCUGUCAGAAAGAUCUUCCUUUGAUAUUUACAUGGAAUUGAAGAAUUUGCCUCCUGAUUAGUUCCAGCCAAAAAAUCAAAGUGGAUUUUGAGUUUCCAGCAAAAAUUUAGAAAGCAAUAAAUGGUUCAAAAGUUGUGUUUUCACAAGUCUGGAGUUCAAUAAAUUUUUCCAUGUGCCAUAAGCCUGGGCAGACUGUAUCUUUCAUGAUGUACCGUGACCUCACAUGCUCUGAUCUUACUGGAAAGUUUUCUGCCC
Long non-coding RNA from Zonotrichia albicollis (white-throated sparrow), 2176 nucleotides. RefSeq lists it as uncharacterized. Lineage: Eukaryota; Metazoa; Chordata; Aves; Passeriformes; Passerellidae. The record is from RefSeq and is a predicted model, not a curated record.